RNAcentral lists this long non-coding RNA (558 nucleotides) under Homo sapiens (human). RNAcentral describes it as "HSALNT0279467". The record is from RNAcentral. Lineage: Eukaryota; Metazoa; Chordata; Mammalia; Primates; Hominidae.
CUAGAAGGGCCUCAGGAGGAAGGCAGGGGACCAGAGUGAGGCAGUGGAGCAGUGUGGGGCCAGGCAGGCCCACCUGGGAGAGGAAGGUGGAGGGGAUGGCCUGGGAGCAGAGGGUCCUCUCCCGAGGUGUGGAAACCAAGGGAGGUGAAGGUUCUGGGGAAGUCAGGUGGGACAGGACAGAAACGUGCCUGCGGGGUGAGCAGCACAGGUGCUGGUGUCACCUUUGGGAAUCUUUUCCAGGGAAGUGGUCACCCAGGGUUUGUGGGCUGAGCGAGAGGGAGGGUAGGGAGUGAGUGAGAGGGGCCGGGGGAGCGAUAGUGAGGGGUCGGGAGGGGACAGCUCUGAGUGCAGCUGAAGUGAGGCCAACAGCUCUGAUAAGAGAGAAGCCAGCAGUGGGCAAACGCAGGCCCACCUGAGGUCCUGAAGGAACCCCCCCGGAGCCCAGAGGACGUCAUGUGUCUCCGGGACCCCUUCCUCCGCCGCACCCGCCCCGGUGGUCCGCGGAUGCCCGCCCUUGCCGCUCAGCCACUCCCCCCGCACCGAGGCCUAGGACUCCCC